AACGCGAAGAACCUUACCUGGGCUCGAACGGCUUAAGACAAUCUUUGGAAACAGAGACUUCUCGCAAGAGACUUGAGUCGAGGUGCUGCAUGGCUGUCGUCAGCUCGUGUCGUGAGAUGUUGGGUUAAGUCCCGCAACGAGCGCAACCCUUGUCCUGUGUUGCCACUCCCGCAAGGGAAGCACUCUCAGGAGACCGCCAGCGAUAAGCUGGAGGAAGGUGGGGAUGAUGUCAAGUCAUCAUGGCCUUUAUGUCCAGGGCUACACACGUGCUACAAUGGGCGGUACAAAGCGCUGCAAACCCGCGAGGGGGAGCUAAUCGCAAAAAACCGUUCUCAGUUCGGAUCGCAGGCUGCAACUCGCCUGCGUGAAGCUGGAAUCGCUAGUAAUGGUGUAUCAGAAUGAUACCGUGAAUACGUUCCCGGGCCUUGUA
Molecule: ribosomal RNA, 430 nt
Filed under: uncultured Acidobacterium sp.
Lineage: Bacteria; Pseudomonadati; Acidobacteriota; Terriglobia; Terriglobales; Acidobacteriaceae
Description: bacterial SSU rRNA
Rfam family: Bacterial small subunit ribosomal RNA
Source: RNAcentral